UCUUCCAGAGGAAGAGGUUCAACAUUUUUCGACAUUUGAUGCGCGGAAAAAAGCACCACAAAGAAACAAAAGCAUCCUUUGCGUCCCUGCAAAUGUAAAUAAUCUUGCAACUAGAAGAAAUGAUAGAUUUAGGUAAACAAGUGUAAGGAACAUGAGUAGAUACCAGAGGAAUUGCCAAGUCCCGAUUACUUGGGUUCUGAGCAAGGUCAUAUUCCAUAAAAGGAACACAGUCAUGUGGCAUCUUGGAAAGUAAAGAACUAGUUGUUGAACCACUUAAACGGGAUCGUGUACAAAUAGCAAAAGUGAGGGCCUUAAGCCAAGUUGUGCCAGUUUUUGGAAAACUGGCGAGAAAUAUAUCAGUGGAUUGAGGAUUGAAGCGCUCUUGAACAGACAUGAUUCCUUCCAAGAAGGAGGGAUCGUACCAAAAGCAUUGGUACAGGUAAUAAUCAUCCCCCCUCAAGCCUUUAACUUUUGGAAGGGUGGACAUCACUUCAUUGUAAUUUUUAGCUUCAUUUUUCCUCUCAGCAUUUCCAUCAGAAUCCAAGAUUUGGGAGGAAGGCAAAGAGGAUUCCAUGAAAGUUAAAAAAGAAAUAUAAGGUAGAAUGAAAGGCCAUGGCAGCUAUUUGUAGCGAGUUGAGAGCUGGUUUAAUUUUUGGCACCAUCAGCUAU
This is a long non-coding RNA of Populus trichocarpa (black cottonwood), 669 nucleotides long. RefSeq lists it as uncharacterized. NCBI's taxonomy places the organism in Eukaryota, Viridiplantae, Streptophyta, Magnoliopsida, Malpighiales, Salicaceae. The record is from RefSeq and is a predicted model, not a curated record. The transcript is spliced from 3 exons.